This 1753-nucleotide ribosomal RNA is filed under the name Reticulamoeba sp. JJP-2003. RNAcentral's name for it is "SSU rRNA". It matches the Rfam family "Eukaryotic small subunit ribosomal RNA". Lineage: Eukaryota; Cercozoa. The record is from RNAcentral.
GCCAGUAGUCAUAUGCUUGUCUCAAAGAUUAAGCCAUGCAUGUCUAAGUUUAAGCGAUUUAAACUGUGAAACUGCGGAUGGCUCAUUAAAUCAGUUAUAGUUUAUUUGAUGGUGCCUUACUACACGGAUACCUGUAGUAAUUCUAGAGCUAAUACGUGCGUAAAAUCCCGACUUUAGUCGGAAGGGAUGUAUUUGUUAGGUAACAAAAGCCAGCACGAGCUUCGGCUCGGUUGUAUGGUGAGUCAUAACAACUGUUCGGAGCGCAAGGCCUCGAGCCGGCGCUAGGUCAUUCAAAUUUCUGCCCUAUCAGCUUUCGAUGGUAGUGUAGUGGACUACCAUGGCUUUGACGGGUAACGGAGAAUUAGGGUUCGAUUCCGGAGAGGGAGCCUGAGAAACGGCUACCACAUCUAAGGAUGGCAGCAGGCGCGCAACUUACCCAAUCCUGACUCAGGGAGGUAGUGACAAGAAAUAACAUCACCGGGCCUUUACGGUCUGGUGUAUGGAAUGAGUACAAUGUAAACACCUUAACGAGGAUCCAUUGGAGGGCAAGUCUGGUGCCAGCAGCCGCGGUAAUACCAGCUCCAAUAGCGUAUAUGUCCUUUGCUGUGGUUAAAAAGCUCGUAGUUGGAUUUCUGACCAGGUGAGCCUAUCCCUCCCCCUUUGCGGGGGCUGCGCGAUGGCAGCGCACCGGUCAUCUUUCGCGAGAGCAGCUGCGCCCUUAGUUGGGUUGCGGUUGGGAUCGCGGACGUUUACUUUGAAAAAAUUAGAGUGUUCAAGGCAGGCUUUACGCCUGAAUCGUCCAGCAUGGAAUAAUAAGAUAGGACUUUGGUUCUAUUUUGUUGGUUUCUAGGGCCAGAGUAAUGAUUGAUAGGGAUAGUUGGGGGUGCUAGUAUUGAACGGCCAGCGGUGAAAUGCUCGGAUUCGUUCAAGACUAACGUAUGCGAAAGCGUUCGCCAAGGAUGUCUUCUUUAAUCAAGAACGAAAGUUGGGGGAUCGAAGACGAUCAGAUACCGUCGUAGUCCCAACCAUAAACUAUACCGGCUGGGGAUUGGCCGACGUUGAGAUUGACUCGGUCAGCACCCUAUGAGAAAUCAAAGCCUUUGGGUUCCGGGGGGAGUAUGGUCGCAAGGCUGAAACUUAAAGGAAUUGACGGAAGGGCACCACCAGGCGUGGAGCUUGCGGCUUAAUUUGACUCAACACGGGGAAACUUACCAGGUCCAGACACAGGAAGGAUUGACAGGUUGAAGACCUUUCUUGAUUCUGUGGGUGGUGGUGCAUGGCCGUUAUUAGUUGGUGGAGUGAUCUGUCUGGUUAAUUCCGUUAACGAACGAGACCUUGGCCUGCUAAUUAGUUUGCGUCACCUUGGUGGCGUCGAGCUUCUUAGAGGGACUAUCUGUGAUGAGCAGAUGGAAGUGCGAGGCUAUAACAGGUCUGUGAUGCCCUUCGACGUUCUGGGCCGCACGCGUGCUACACUGAUGGGUUCAACGAGUUCGAAUGGUUCUUGGCCGAUAGGUCUGGGAAAUCUUUGAACGCCCAUCGUGAUUGGGAUAGAUGCUUGCAAUUUUUCAUCUUGAACGAGGAAUGCCUAGUAAUCGCAAGUCAUCAACUUGCAAUGAUUACGUCCCUGCCCUUUGUACACACCGCCCGUCGCUCCUACCGAUUGAGCGGUCCGGUGAGGUGCGAGGAUUGGUGGCGGCGCUCUUUGAGCCCGACGCCGAGAAUUGCACCAAGCCUUACUGCUUAGAGGAAGGAG